Molecule: ribosomal RNA, 498 nt
Filed under: uncultured bacterium
Lineage: Bacteria
Description: bacterial SSU rRNA
Rfam family: Bacterial small subunit ribosomal RNA
Source: RNAcentral
CUGGCGGCAUGCUUUCACAUGCAAGUCGGACGGCAGCACAGAGAAGCUUGCUUCUUGGGUGGCGAGUGGCGAACGGGUGAGUAAUAUAUCGGAACGUACCGAGUAGUGGGGGAUAACUAAUCGAAAGAUUAGCUAAUACCGCAUACGUCUUGAGAGAGAAAGCAGGGGAUCUUCGGACCUUGCGCUAUUCGAGCGGCCGAUAUCUGAUUAGCUAGUUGGUGGGGUAAAGGCCUACCAAGGCGACGAUCAGUAGCGGGUCUGAGAGGAUGAUCCGCCACACUGGGACUGAGACACGGCCCAGACUCCUACGGGAGGCAGCAGUGGGGAAUUUUGGACAAUGGGCGCAAGCCUGAUCCAGCCAUGCCGCGUGUCUGAAGAAGGCCUUCGGGUUGUAAAGGACUUUUGUCAGGAACGAAAAGGGCUGUGCUAAUACCACGGUCUGAUGACGGUACCUGAAGAAUAAGCACCGGCUAACUACGUGCCAGCAGCCGCGGUAAU